CACAAGGCCCUAUUCAGAGCCACCAAUCUUAAAUCAGUGGAUUUUU
Molecule: non-coding RNA, 46 nt
Organism: Operophtera brumata (winter moth)
Lineage: Eukaryota; Metazoa; Arthropoda; Insecta; Lepidoptera; Geometridae
Source: Rfam